GGCGUGAAGGGAGGGACGCGCGCGGCCACGCUCCCCGCAGGACGCGGCUCCGGACCCGGCGUCGGGGCUCCGCGGGACCCAGGUGUUCCCGAGGGGAAGAAACUGGCAGAAAGUGGACGCCUCCGCCCGCUGCCCCCCCCCCCCCCCCACACACACACAGGUAACGGCACCACAGCUGCCUUCCGCACACGCGGCUCCCGGCGCCAACGCCAACGCCAACGCCUCCGCGCCCUCCGGGACCCUCCGACCCCGGCUCAAGCUCCUCCCCGCCCGCGGGCCCCGGCGGGAGCGGCGGCGGCGGCGGCGGCGGGGAGCGGGGAGCGGGGAGCGGGCCGCGCUCGCUGCCAUUGGCUGUGCGGCCCGAGGGGCGGGGGGCCCCGCAGUCCCGCCGGCUCCGCGGCCCCGGCUCCCGCCCGCCCUCCCGCAGCCGGUGCGCUCGAGCCCUGCGCUCCCCGGACGGCCGCGCGGGGGCGGGGCGCCGAGGCGGGGGCGGGGGCGGGGGCGGGGCGCGGCGGGGCGCGGGCGGGGCGCGGGCGGGGAGCUCAGCGCAGCUCCAGUCCGGGCCGGGCCGGCGCGCCGCGGGAGGGGAGGUCGCCGCGCGCGGGCUCGCAGGUCAGUGCGAGGCUCCCGGCGCCGCCUCGAGCGGGGCGGGGCGUGGGGGCCGGGGCCGGGGCGGGGGCCGGGGCGCCGGGCCCUGGGGGCGGGCUCGCCCUCCGCGGGGAGCGCCCUGCCUCCUCUCCUGGGGCGGCCUCCGCUCCCUCCGAGCGCCCCCCCCGCGGCUCUCCGCGGCUCCCAGGGGUGUGGCUCCGUCCUGGGAGCCCCCUGAGUGCAUCCCCUCGGCGGCCAGCAGGCUCCGCGGGUCGGCGGUCGCGAUCCUCGGGAGGACCCGGCGGGGCUGCGCAGGGCCGCGGCCCCGGGACGACCCGCUCCUGUCCCGGACACAGCCGGGAGGAUCUGCCCUCGCGAGCGCUGCUGCAAGCAUUGAUUCCGCCGUCAAGUGGUCGUCUGUCCCCUCCGGGCACUCCCCGCGUGCACUGCCGGCCUUGCACCUUCGCGCGCCCGCAGAGCCUUUGCACCCGUCUUAGGUGCUUCAAAUCCGGGCAGAAUGCUCUGAAGAGAUUGACACAUGUUCAUGGUUCUCAUUAAAGAAGCUUCAUGUAAGUGACAAAGGACACCUGAUCCCCUGCUGCCUUUGUUGGAAAACGAAGAAGUUUUGUUGUGCUGAUUUAACUGCCUGCAAUCUUUGCUGAUGCGAUCAUAAAAAAAAAAAAUGCUGAUUCUGUCCUUUUUAACCCCUGUGUGAAACUGACUUUUAACAUACUUGUGCAUUCUUUGAUCCUCCAUAAAGAUGUCUGAACCUGACUCUUCAUCUGUAUUUUCGG
This 1382-nucleotide long non-coding RNA is filed under the name Canis lupus familiaris (dog). RNAcentral's name for it is "lncRNA (ENSCAFG00000055515.1)". Lineage: Eukaryota; Metazoa; Chordata; Mammalia; Carnivora; Canidae. The record is from RNAcentral.